Long non-coding RNA from Pieris brassicae (large cabbage white), 335 nucleotides. RefSeq lists it as uncharacterized. The record is from RefSeq and is a predicted model, not a curated record. Lineage: Eukaryota; Metazoa; Arthropoda; Insecta; Lepidoptera; Pieridae. The transcript is spliced from 3 exons.
AAUUAAUGGGGCAUUAAAUUGUGUCACUUAAUAGUCCAUAAGACAUAAUUAUAAAUCUUUAGAGACGAUGUCUUCUCUCACCGUGUAAGUUUUACCGGCGCUAAUAGAAGAUACAUUGGUACAAAGUCUCCAAACGCAGCUUCAUUUUUGGGAUUCGAAGGCGAAGAGAAUCAAGAAUUUAAUAUACAUUGCCUGCGAUUGUGAUGACAGAUGGGCCAAAAGACCUUUACUUGGCAUUCCAAGCGCGAAGAAAAGAAAGGACGCCUACCAGAAACCUGGGAAUAAAGGAGGAAGGAUUGGGAAAUAGUGGCGAGGAUGAGAGGCAAGUGGAAGAA